AUUGAACGCUGGCGGCAGGCCUAACACAUGCAAGUCGAGCGGAUGAAGGGAGCUUGCUCCUGGAUUCAGCGGCGGACGGGUGAGUAAUGCCUAGGAAUCUGCCUGGUAGUGGGGGAUAACGUCCGGAAACGGGCGCUAAUACCGCAUACGUCCUGAGGGAGAAAGUGGGGGAUCUUCGGACCUCACGCUAUCAGAUGAGCCUAGGUCGGAUUAGCUAGUUGGUGGGGUAAAGGCCUACCAAGGCGACGAUCCGUAACUGGUCUGAGAGGAUGAUCAGUCACACUAGAACUGAAACACGGUCCAGACUCCUGCGGGAGGCAGCAGUGGGGAAUAUUGGACAAUGGGCGAAAGCCUGAUCCAGCCAUGCCGCGUGUGUGAAGAAGGUCUUCGGAUUGUAAAGCACUUUAAGUUGGGAGGAAGGGCAGUAAGUUAAUACCUUGCUGUUUUGACGUUACCAACAGAAUAAGCACCGGCUAACUUCGUG
Molecule: ribosomal RNA, 484 nt
Filed under: uncultured bacterium
Lineage: Bacteria
Description: partial 16S ribosomal RNA
Rfam family: Bacterial small subunit ribosomal RNA
Source: RNAcentral